UAGGCCUUAGUUCAAUUGAGAAUAUUUGACUGUUAAUCAAAAGGUGCUUAUUUAAUAGCAGUUCUAG
This 67-nucleotide transfer RNA is filed under the name Xylophagaidae sp. E23. RNAcentral describes it as "tRNA-Asn". It matches the Rfam family "tRNA". From Rfam's summary of the family: Transfer RNA (tRNA) molecules are approximately 80 nucleotides in length. Their secondary structure includes four short double-helical elements and three loops (D, anti-codon, and T loops). Lineage: Eukaryota; Metazoa; Mollusca; Bivalvia; Myida; Xylophagaidae. The record is from RNAcentral. RNAcentral also lists the same sequence under 1 other name.